AACAUAUGAUGACACUGUUUCGGUCCCAUAUGAGUGUCUGUGAUUAUUGCCAUGAGAUCAAUACUGAUGUU
This is a non-coding RNA of Xenopus laevis (African clawed frog), 71 nucleotides long. The record is from Rfam. NCBI's taxonomy places the organism in Eukaryota, Metazoa, Chordata, Amphibia, Anura, Pipidae.